GACGAACGCUGGCGGCGUGCCUAAUACAUGCAAGUUGAGCGCUGAAGGUUGGUACUUGUACCAACUGGAUGAGCAGCGAACGGGUGAGUAACGCGUGGGGAAUCUGCCUUUGAGCGGGGGACAACAUUUGGAAACGAAUGCUAAUACCGCAUAAAAACUUUAAACACAAGUUUUAAGUUUGAAAGAUGCAAUUGCAUCACUCAAAGAUGAUCCCGCGUUGUAUUAGCUAGUUGGUGAGGUAAAGGCUCACCAAGGCGAUGAUACAUAGCCGACCUGAGAGGGUGAUCGGCCACGUUGGGACGGAGACACGGCCCAAACUCCUACGGGAGGCAGCAGUAGGGAAUCUUCGGCAAUGGACGAAAGUCUGACCGAGCAACGCCGCGUGAGUGAAGAAGGGUUUCGGAUCGUAAAACUCUGUUGGUAGAGAAGAACGUUGGUGAGAGUGGAAAGCUCAUCAAGUGACGGUAACUACCCAGAAAGGGACGGCUAACUACGUG
RNAcentral lists this ribosomal RNA (497 nucleotides) under uncultured bacterium. RNAcentral describes it as "partial 16S ribosomal RNA". It matches the Rfam family "Bacterial small subunit ribosomal RNA", at positions 28 to 507 of the family's 1533-position model. The record is from RNAcentral.